UUAAUUAAAGCCAAAUUAGAGGCAAAUCACUGUUAAUGAUUCUACUGGAAAAUUUCCUAAUUAAA
Molecule: transfer RNA, 65 nt
Filed under: Oxyomus sylvestris
Lineage: Eukaryota; Metazoa; Arthropoda; Insecta; Coleoptera; Scarabaeidae
Description: tRNA-Asn
Source: RNAcentral